This 460-nucleotide ribosomal RNA is filed under the name uncultured bacterium. RNAcentral describes it as "bacterial SSU rRNA". It matches the Rfam family "Bacterial small subunit ribosomal RNA", at positions 338 to 790 of the family's 1533-position model. The record is from RNAcentral.
CCUACGGGAGGCUGCAGUCUAGAAAUUUGGGCAAUGGGCGAAAGCCUGACCCAGCGACGCCGCGUGGGGGAUGAAGCUUCUCGGAGUGUAAACCCCUGUUAGGUGGGACGAAAGCCCGUAUACGAAUAGUAGGCGGGUUUGACGGUACCACCAGAGGAAGCUCCGGCUAACUCCGUGCCAGCAGCCGCGGUAAUACGGGGGGAGCAAGCGUUGUUCGGAGUUAUUGGGCGUAAAGGGCGUACAGGCGGUGGUGUAAGUCAGAUGUGAAAUCCCCCGGCUCAACCGGGGACCUGCAUUUGAUACUGCAUCACUUGAGUACAGGAGAGGAGAGCGGAAUUUUCGGUGUAGCGGUGGAAUGUGUAGAUAUCGAAAAGAACACCAGUGGCGAAGGCGGCUCCCUGGCCUGAUACUGACGCUGACGCGCGAAAGCUAGGGGAGCAAACAGGAUUAGAUACCCUGG